RNAcentral lists this unclassified non-coding RNA (200 nucleotides) under Hevea brasiliensis (rubber tree). The record is from RNAcentral. Lineage: Eukaryota; Viridiplantae; Streptophyta; Magnoliopsida; Malpighiales; Euphorbiaceae.
AUCGCAUCCAUGUCACAAGCCAAGCACAACCUCGCAUUCUUGUUCCCAUGACCAUCAGCAGUACCCACAUUCCUCUUCCCACCAGCGUUACUAUUGGAAACGCCAUUCUUCUUCUUACAAUAGUACCUGUUAUGCCGAUCGCUCAAGAAAUAAUUCCUCAACGGCGGCGUAUGAAGCAAUGCCUGAAGCACCGAGUUCAU